RNAcentral lists this ribosomal RNA (497 nucleotides) under uncultured bacterium. RNAcentral's name for it is "partial 16S ribosomal RNA". It matches the Rfam family "Bacterial small subunit ribosomal RNA", at positions 28 to 507 of the family's 1533-position model. The record is from RNAcentral.
GAUGAACGCUGGCGGCGUGCCUAAUACAUGCCAGUCGAGCGAACAGACGAGGAGCUUGCUCCUCUGACGUUAGCGGCGGACGGGUGAGUAACACGUGGAUAACCUACCUAUAAGACUGGGAUAACUUCGGGAAACCGGAGCUAAUACCGGAUAAUAUAAUGAACCGCAUGGUUCAAUAGUGAAAGACGGUUUUGCUGUCACUUAUAGAUGGAUCCGCGCCGCAUUAGCUAGUUGGUAAGGUAACGGCUUACCAAGGCGACGAUGCGUAGCCGACCUGAGAGGGUGAUCGGCCACACUGGAACUGAGACACGGUCCAGACUCCUACGGGAGGCAGCAGUAGGGAAUCUUCCGCAAUGGGCGAAAGCCUGACGGAGCAACGCCGCGUGAGUGAUGAAGGUCUUCGGAUCGUAAAACUCUGUUAUUAGGGAAGAACAAAUGUGUAAGUAACUAUGCACGUCUUGACGGUACCUAAUCAGAAAGCCACGGCUAACUACGUG